RNAcentral lists this ribosomal RNA (443 nucleotides) under uncultured bacterium. Its description in RNAcentral is "partial 16S ribosomal RNA". It matches the Rfam family "Bacterial small subunit ribosomal RNA", at positions 338 to 795 of the family's 1533-position model. The record is from RNAcentral.
CCUACGGGGGGCAGCAGUGGGGAAUAUUGGGCAAUGGAGGCAACUCUGACCCAGCAACGCCGCGUGAAUGAUGAAGGUCUUCGGAUUGUAAAGUUCUUUUCUAAGGGAAGAAGAAAGUGACGGUACCUUAGGAAUAAGCCUCGGCUAACUACGUGCCAGCAGCCGCGGUAAUACGUAGGAGGCAAGCGUUAUCCGGAAUGACUGGGCGUAAGGGGUGCGUAGGUGGUUUGACAAGUUAGUAGCGCAACACCGGAGCUCAACUUCGGAACUACUACUAAAACGGGUGGACUUGAGUGCAGGAGGGGCAAUCGGAAUUCCUGGUGUAGCGGUGGAAUGCGUAGAUAUUAGGAGGAACACCAGUGGCGAAGGCGGAUUGCUGGACUGUAACUGACACUGAGGCACGAAAGCGUGGGGAGCGAACAGGAUUAGAUACCCCAGUAGUC